Long non-coding RNA from Exaiptasia diaphana, 1155 nucleotides. RefSeq lists it as uncharacterized. The record is from RefSeq and is a predicted model, not a curated record. Lineage: Eukaryota; Metazoa; Cnidaria; Anthozoa; Actiniaria; Aiptasiidae. The transcript is spliced from 3 exons.
UUUAGAGUGUUCCUUCAAAGUAGGGGGUUGACCCAAAAAUGGCGACUUGAAGAAAUUCCUCACCCUUGUCAGCAUGAUGCCGUAAGUUGCGGCAUAUAUAUUCUAAAGAUAGCGGAGUGCAUUAUGUUCCAACCCGGUGAUCCAAUCGAAUUUUCUAGUGAAGAUGUCGAUGAAUACCGCUACGUCGUAGCAGAAAAGCCUCUGGAUCAAAAGUAGCAGAAUGUGUUAUACAUAGUAUAACGCACUCCAUGAAAUCUAAUGACCCUCUUUGUGCUAAUGUUAUGCAAUUUAGAAAUAGCAAUUUUGAUUUUUGUACAAUUUCACUCCAAAAUGCGCCUUCUCAUUUUACUAGAGCCAUUAGCUCAAAUUCACAGGAAUGUACAUCAUGUAUCUGAUCAUGUACACUCUAACUCUGGUAUCUGUCAACUACUGAUGGACACAAAGAGCAUCGACAGCUCUUAUCAUUCAUCGGAUUUGCGAUAACUCAAACAAGAAACUUCUGGCUAAACUCUUGUAAAUAUAUUCGCAUUUAAACACUAUUUCGGUGAAUAAUUGAGCAUAUCCUUGUAAAAAUAUGUAAAUAAAAGCAAAAGCAAAAACAGAAGUUACUUCACGAACUUCUUCUGUUUUGACAUGUAAAUAUCAAACGAUCAUUUAAAUAUUCCAUCUCGUGUCCAAUCUGUCCUUGCUUGUCGCAUGAUSACAGCUGUGAUUUGCCAAAGUGGGUUAAUAUCCCGUACCGGCAAUCUAUGAUAUAAUUGGUUCAGUCACGUUAUGUGAGUGUUUAUGUGGCGAUAAUGAAGUCACCUCUUCAAUUUGAAUUGAUACCUCAUGGAAUUUUCUACUUCACCGAAAAGCCUUGAUGAAACGUUAUAAAAUGUUUAGUACUCAUUUUGCUCGUAACUUGAAAUUGAACUCGUUUCUACGGACCGGAUAAUGCGUGCAAAAGUGGACUUGUUUUACAGCGUGACGUUGGUCUUAAAAGCUCUUUAUCUGUCAUCGCUUCUUGUAUGAUCAAAGCUGUGAUUGGCUUAACCGCCUUACUAUCCCGUACUAAUUACUGCUCAAUGAGACGAUUGCAUGAGUCGCGUUAUCAUUCCGUACUAAUCCCGUACUAAUUUACUGCUUUAUAAUACGAUUGGUUGACUCGCGUUA